AUGAAUGUAUGAAUACAUCAAAUUUAUCAGUGGAACAGUACUUUCGGAAGAAUUCUGAAGACUUCAAAAAAUUAUGAUAUCCGUGAUUGAAUAUGACCUGCUUAGUAAUUCUUAAAUUGUCGACCAUCAUAAAUUAUCCAGAUUAUGCGCUAAUUAGUUUCCACUAUUCAAUAUCCGGACAUUGUUCUUCAAACCUCUUUGCAUUUAUGUUCAAAAAACUUCGAAGAAACUACAAACAUUGACAAAUGAUUUGAUGCAAUGUUGAAUUUAUGCUGCUAAUUUUUUUUUGUAAGGAAGGCUUAAGGGAGUGGAAUCUUUUUCCCCUCCCAAUAAUCAUGGUAUCUUCUGAAUACCAAUCUUAUAGCAGAGACUGUUGACUUGUUAUCGCAUCCGGUUUCAGAAAAUUAUCGAUCAUACAAUAAACAACUAUUUUUAAGAAAUUACCUUUUGCUAUUUCUUGAGCAGCAACUGGCACAACAAUACCAGAAUACGAAUCUCCACCAACGUAGAGUGGAUUGGAGAGGAACUCUGGGUGAUCAAUAAACCACUGCAUCACAACCCGAGUGCUCGUAAAUCAAUCGCACCGUUCUCCUCCUGAACAUCUUAAACAUAUGAAUUCAAUAAAUUGAAAGAAAUAGCAAUAGCCCCCACCUUUCUAAGGAAAGUGUGGACUUGUCGGGCCGCUUUGGUAUCCCCUGUCUUGUAGCUUUUCCCCACACUCGAAUAGGAGAAUCCAGUCCCGACCGGCGAAUCGAGAAAGAUGAUGUUGCACACCUGAAGAACCACCAAAGCUCAAAAAGCGAGAGAGCGAGAGCAAGAGCGAGAGAGAUCAGACCUUAGUCCAAGUAUAUGGGUUGUAGACCAAGGUUGGUAGGCCUCCAGUGUAACUAGCAACGUCAAAUUUUAGAGGGCCUGCAAGAUUAGAGAGAGGUACACAUGACAUCAAUCCAUUAAUAUUUACAUGCUAGAGUUGCAUCUCAGCUCAACAUAAUCAAAAAAAAUCCUGUGAGAUAAUUUCUGAUUUGGGUGGAUUGAGUUGGGUUAAGCGAAAAGCCAGGCCCAAUCCUUCAGAUAUACUCCAUUCAGAUCGAACUAAACCAAAAACCUAACCACCACCAACCUCAAACCAAUUUGAGUGCAAAAUUAUUAGCUGAAAUACAAUUUAAAUUAGGUUAGGUUUUGUGAAUGUCACAUAAGCGAAGUUUGCGCCUACUCUAUGUAACUUUGUAGGAAUCUUGUUCUAGGAUGAUAAGUUAUGCUCGAGUUGAUUCAGAUCGGUGGCCUUCCUAUGUAAGUUCAAGUUUGUCCAACUCGGCAAAAUGCUCAAUACGAGCUUGACCCAAUCUACCACUGGGUUAAUAGCUUCCAACCAAGCUCAAUCCAAGGAGAUUAUGUUUGAUCCAAUUUGGCACAAAUUAUGGCUGGGGUUGAGGUAAGUUUAAAUUAAGCUUACCCUCGUUUCGACCUCACUUCCUGAUUGUCUCUCUUGAAUAAUAGGGAUCACAUCAACUGAACAUGGGCCCGGUUUAUCAAGUCACACGAAUCCUAUGUCCAAUAUACAUAGCUCGACAUGCGAAGAGGCUAUUUCUAUGCUUCAAAUUUAUAAUAUCUAGAUCACAAUGAAGCAACCUUAAUAUUGCAGCAAGGCUUGCUUUCUAAAAAAAGUAUUCUAGUGCACAAAACUCCUACCAUUGCUGGAUUUGACGAAAAGAAAGGAUAUAUAAGCACUAUUACCCCUGGUAUGAAGAGACCAAUUUUAUGUUUCAAAUAUAUAAUACCAAAGUCACAAUGGAGCAAUCUUGAAGUGAACUUGUAAUACUCAGGUCUCAUCAUUUUUUUUUUUGAUAGUAGUUUUCUUUCUAGAUAAUAGAGCCCUUUAUCACUUUUACUUGUAUCUAUGGAUGAAGAGUAGAGGUGUGGUGACUCAAAAAUCUCAUCGAAAAACAAGCACCAAAUGGCAGGUAACUCACAUUUUGCUUUGUCGGCACACUUUAAACUUUAGCGAGAUCAAUUUAUAAAGGAUAUAUCUGCUAUACACUAGAAUUUAUAGCUACACUAAACUCCUUAUGUCAUCUCGGACUUCUGCUAAUGGCUACUAUUACUUCUAUUGUAACAACCCAAGACCUCACCCACACAAGCUAGCUAAAAUAUGGUAUUUGAAUUUUUUGGUCCUGUAUAAGUACCCAAGAUCUACCCAGCAGCACAUAGCCGAUAUAGGACUAAAUAUACACUCACAUGGAUUCUUACAUACUCCCCCGUUUAAGCCCUAGCGUCCUCGUCAGACUGAGUUCGAACUACAUUCAAAUCAUAGCUCAAGCACCACGAUCGUCUUGUGAUCAGCCCUCAUGAACUCGUCCUGCAGUGUUUCUUGGUCCAUAUAUGCCAUGCGUCGGGUCCGGUCUAAUACUAUUUGUAACAACCAAAGAUCUUAUCCAAAAAGACUAGCGAGAAGGUGUUAUAUAUUUAAUUUUUUGGUUCUGUAUAAAUACUCAAAAUCUAUAUGAUUACUAGCCGAUGUGGGACUAAACACAUGCCCGUAUGGGUCCUCACAUCCAUCUUGUUCAUAGAAUCAUGUGUGACAGGGGUUGUAACAACUUCAUCUAUGACAUGGUUUGAAUUCCCUGCAUCCAUUAUUAUAAUUUUUGUUGCCUCAAGCCUCUUCCUCCUGCUCUUUAAUCCAUAUUUGAACACUUCUAACCAAUAUAAUAGACUUUUAAAGCGAACUCAAUACUUCAACGCAGCACGAGUAUUGAAGUGAAUUCAUUGACUUUGAAUCGUGAUCGCUAAAACUAAAAGAACCGUACCAAUCACUUUGUUGAGUAGAGGAGCCUUACCAAUCUGAAUCGCCAAUGCUGAGAGCCCCGAGCAGCCCGGGCCUCCUGUCAGCCACACUAUUAGAGGAUCCUCCUCCGGGUUCCUCUCAGACUUUAUGAAGUAGUAGAAAAGCUGAGCAUCGUUCACUUCAUCCACCUCCACGUAUCUAAAACAUGCAAAGUAGAAGCACAAGUUGCCUAAAUUUUCCCAUAAUUGAGAAGCAGCAGCCGUGCACCAAUUAGAACAUGGAUGUUAAAACAUGGAAAGCUCACCCGGUUUCCAAAUGGAAGGGCAGGGUUCCAUGAAAUCCUGGAAGGUGGGUGAUGGUGUUCAGAGCUGACACAAUAGAAGAACAUGAGAACGUUGGUAGCAGCAGUACAAAUAGUAUAGAGAGCAUCGCCAAGGAAGAGGAGAGCUUUCUAGCUUCCUUGGCUACUGCCAUUCUUUGGUCCUCGCAAAUUAAAGGCCAUUAGCAUUUGCCACCCCCUUUUGAGAGGAAGAGAAACGGGCCGGUAGCCGACGACGAGCAGAGGUGGGGGUUCCUUUAAUGGUACAGGACAAACAAAAUAUUGAAAAUUUCAUGUCAUUUGACAGAUGAAAUUGGACAGGUGACAAAAGAUUAAAAGAAUGAGAAGUUGGUGGAGGUGGGGGCCAAUUUGGAUAAGUCACACGCAGUCACCAUCUGAUCGAGCCAUCAAGGGUCGGAUUUGUAUCCAUCACUUCCAAGUUUGAGUAUCAUACGGGUGUCCAGAGUUCUCGUCGCAACUUCUCUUGGGGAAAAAGGAAGGGAUCGAUGGCGUCACAAAGGAGGGAAGUGGGCCUUCGUUCCUUUCUUCUAGUUAAUACUUCACACGUUGGUUUUCUGGUAGAAAUUAAUGGCUACCUACUUGCUACUUAUUUCAAAUGGUGAAUUAUUUCAACGUUAACAUCACAACGGCUACGAGCGCCACCCGUGUGAUUGUUCAUCAAUCUCGAAGCGUAUUAUAAUGAAAUCCAAACCCUUUGCCUUCGUCAAGGAAGCGGAAAAUGGUUUUCUGGUUAUAGCCAUAGCACCAGGCAAGCGAAUAGGCGCUGUUUGUACUCGGCGCUAGGUCACGGAUGACGUACGAGAUUUGCACCGUGAAACUCAGAUGGGACCAAAUAAUUUGUCCAUUCUGUCAGGCAACGAUCUUGUCAAAGGGUCAGCUGUCCACCGUCGAGGGGCCGAGAGCGCCUACUAAUUAUUAUUAUUUUAAAGAAAGGCGAAAAAAAAAGCUCAGUCCUAAAGUUUGGUUUUGUAUUUCCAAAUUUGUGACAUUGCCCGUCGUCCUUUGUUUCAAUUUUAUAUGAGAUCUCAACCAUCCAUUAUAUACUCGAUUAGUCUUGCAUGAUCCCACAUGUUAUACGAGAUCUCAGCCAUCCAUUAACUAAUUCGUUCAUCUUACAUAUUGCCGCAUGGACAUGUUCCCGAAUCUAGUAUUUUGAACUAGAUUGGGAAUCUGUGCUCUUCUUCUGCAUGUCCAUAGGCAUUAGGCAGUCAACCCCCAAGAAUUAUUUAAGACAUUAGCUAUGUUUAUGGUUUACUGUUCUGUUUUCGAUUCUCUGUUUUCUGUUCUAAUCAACCCUCAGAUAUACCAAAAAAAAAAACCAAAGAACAGGGAUAGGCUAUAAAAAGUAUUAUGCAAUAUGUAUCACAUUUAAGUAAAUUACAACUAUCACAAUUUUGUGAUGGCAUUCUCUCCUGUAUCGUGGUGGGGCGGGUUUACCCUCCAAUCAACUUGUUACGCCAAAGAAAAGGAGAGAGAGCGAUGAGGAAGCCUAAAUCAAUAGAGGAAGAAAAAAAAAAAAGGAAAAAAGGAAAAGAGGAGGAAAAAAAUAGGAAUAUAUAUAUAUAUAGGUAAAAAAAUAAUAGAAAAAGUUAGAGAGAAAGAUUCUAUUCUUGGUUCACCCUCUCUUUAUCCACCUGAUUUGUAGAUCUUAUUUAAAAGUCCUAAAUUGAUGUUGCAGACUGCAUAGACCAGUCUUAUCUACCUCUUUAUCUAGUUUGGACUUGAAGCCUACUCAAGUUCAUUUCCAUUCCUCUAGAGUUUCUUAAAUUGUAUUUAUAUUUUCAAAUAGUUGAAUGCCAAUUAAUUUAUCUUGCUAAUUGGCUUGGAUAGGUAUAGCUGAUUCGCCUAUCUAAACCUAAUAAUUUUUAGGCGAACAAAGAUAAGUGACCCUGGCACAAACCUUCCUCAUUUUUAAAUUAUUUAAUUUAUAUGUAUUAAAAAAUAUAAAUUAUAGUGAUGUGAUUGGUUUUGUAUUCUCUUAAAAAUUUAGGAUCCAUGAUUAUGAAUAAUUCAUAUUCUAGCAUUAUGCUUUACUGUGGAUGAUUUAUGCUUGAAUUAUGCUCUCUAAAAUUAUGGGAAUAAAAAAUGCAUGCUACUAUGAAAUGAUAUAUAUGGCAAGAUUAUAUGUUUUAAACUUAAACCAAGAGACCUACAUAUAAUAAAAUUAAAAAUUUUAAGAAUUAAAGCAUAAAUUUUAAAAAGACACCAACUAAAAAUAAUAUUAAAAAUGUCUUGAACUAAUAUGUAAAAAUUCUUACCAUAGAAAAUGAGAGGAUGAGGGAGGGUGGUAAGAUAAAUAAUGCCAUGCUUAGUACCAUAAAAAAAAAGGUAAAACAAAUACCAUCGGGAAGUAAUAUUUUUUUUCUACACUAUCGAGUGGAGGUAAUAUGAAAUUGUCAGAAAUGCCUCCACUUUUUUCAUUGUAACCCACACAUGUUCUUUUUUAAUAUUGUCAAUACCACAAUAGUCCCAACUCAAAACAUAAGGCCAGCCGAUCAUUUUCAGUAGCUCAAUAUACGAUUAUGCUAAAUCCAAAUAUCUAAUUUUCUAUAUAACGAUUUAAUUAUUUUUCCAAAUUAAUCAAUUAAUGGUGCAAUAUUUAUUUAAUAAAAUAUUAGAAAUACCAAAAUUUAUUUAUAAUAAAAAAUAUAUUUGUUAAUAUAUAUAUAUAUAUAUAUAAUUAAUUUAAAAUAUUUAUUAACACAUGUAAAUAUAUUUCAAUAUCUGAAAUGAGCUAUAUUAACAACAGCCUAUAUUGACAACCAUUAUAUGAGUGGGAUAUAAAUGGCCAAUAAAUAAAUUCAACAAUAAAUAAAUAUUAUUAUUUGAAUUGUUUAUUCAAAUAUAUUUUUAAAAAAUUUGUUAAUAUUUUUAUAUAAGAUUAUAUCCAAUUGAAUAUAGUAAUUUUUUUCUGGCUUAUUUUUCAAAUUAAAUUUUUUGCCUACGGUAAAUUUUAUUUCUUCCUAUUAUAACCAUUUUCUCAAAUAAAUAAUUUUCAAAAAAUUUCAAGUAUUUGAUAAUCUGGCAUAUCCUAACCAAACCGAACCUAAGCUAUGAAACGAGGCUACAAGGACCACACUAUUAAAAUCCAAGAAGCAAUAGUCCAAGAAGUGGAUGCUUUUUAUAUUUUGAUAAUGUAAAUAGUUGGACAGUAGUAAUCGUCUAUUCUGUCCAUUCACGGGCGGUCUUUCCUUGAAAAAACAACCAAGAAACAACAAAGCUGGUGCAUGCAUAAGGGUUCACAAUUUUGAAGAUGAAUUACUCUGGAAUCUUGGUAGCUCUUCCUUCCAAUUCUGGGACUUCUUAUUAAGUACUUUUUUAUCAUAGAGAACAUCAGUUGACCCCAGGCCCGCAGAUUAUAAUCAGGCUACUGCUGAUUUUGGGGUUAAUUAUGGAGGCUAAUCAUGUUACAGAGGGGCACCAGAAAGCCACCUUUGAAGCAUAGCCAGGCUCUCUUUUGGCCGGUAUUCUGGAGCUAGGUGUCCCGCACCCUACAAGGACAAGAAUAAAACUGUGGAUAAAACAUCAUUAUACCAAUCAAGUCCCUUAUGACCUCCUACUGUUACCGUUUACCUUCACAGUUGCAAAUGUUAGGUUAUUUGAGUAAGCUCUCGUGAACCUGAGAAGGGAACAUCAAGAUUUAUAAUCUCAUGUUUUAAAAACUAUAAUGAGAAGCUCCCUAAUGACAUUGGCUAGUGCUUGGGAUGAAUUGUGCAACAAGAGAUCACCCUGCAACUUGCCCAUCUGCAGACCAUGGCCGCCAGUCAUCCACGAUGGAGAAGUUGAGAGAUCUAAUCCAUCCUUGCGUGCCCAAAAAGGGUAUAAGCAAGUCAUGAUCUCCACUGCACAAGAAAAGCAGCAUCGAGUGAUAGCAUUUUGGCAUGGAACAAUAGAAAAUUUAGUAUAGCAGGUAAAAUUAAAAUAUCUAAUUAUGCGAAACGUGUAGGGACUUCACCUAUAUACCAACGCUCGGUAACCUCUGCUUGUCAGAUUCAGAUGAAACUUUAUAGAACUUGGGAUAUCGUAUGUAUAAAGUAGGUCAUGGUUGCAUCUCUGCCAAUGUUGCACUGUCCCCUGUUUGGCAUCGUCAAAAAUAUGCGUCUUCACUCCAUUUUACAUCACUUACAUCUAAACUAGAAUAAAUUUUAGUCUGCUUGAUUGAAUUAUGACACCAUGAACAAAGCUAUUUAACAAAUCAAAUGAAGACAUUCUAUGGUAAUUCACAAAGAAGCAGCAUUUCACUAAGACUAUUGAAGGUUAUCAUUCUGCUAGUGUGCAAGCAAAUAUUAAAAUGUCAAGAAAUCCUUUAAAAUGGAAGGAUUAUUAAUACCCAGAUCAAGUACAUUUGACAGAUUUCUAUGCAACAAUAUUCUUUUUAAAAUGGAAGGAUUAGCGCACAUAUCAAGUACACUUCACAGAUUACCAUGCAAAAAUAUCCCAUGAGUAACUCUGGCAAACUUAAUUUGUCUUAUUACUACCCUUAGAACGUUAAAUUUGUGUAGCAGAAAUACAUAACAUGCACGAUGAGAUUUCAUGUUACUUACCCUGCUAAUUUCACUGCAUACAGCUCAGAAGUGAAGAUAAUCAGGUAUAAUACCUUAUGAAUGUUGAGAGCCUCUCUAACAGUAUCAUUGUCUGCCCAGAUGUAGGAAAGCAAGUAUCCAGAACUCUGUAACCAAAUACAAGGCUAGAAACAGUGAGAUUUCUUAUCCAAGAAAAGCAUCAACAAUUUCAAAUUUUAUGCAAGCCGACAAUCUUUACAUGAUUUAGCAUGUAUAAAAGAAAAUAGGGGCAAAUCUAAGUGCAUAUGUGGAGGCCCGUUUGCCCAAAUUAACAAGAAUAUACACAUUAGUACAAAGAUAAACACCUGCACAGCUGCUCCUGAUUGCACAUAUCAGAAUGCACAAGCAAGCACACAUAAAUGCAUAAACAUCAGCAGCUAUGUUACCCAAGAACAAACAUAGAUGCAUGUACAAGCACUCAUACAUGAAGAUAAAUUAGGUGUAAGAUAUUACUUGAACCAAAUCAGAUGAACCAAUAUUUUCACAUAGCAAAAUUCUAAACUAAAGUUUUCAACAGGGAUCAAGUUUCAACAUGAAAGCAGGGAUAAGAAGUAGCUUCGAAAAUCUAAGUGCAUUUUAAGAUGCUAAUGCAUUUGAGCACAUUGAUAGAAGAGUUUAGAAAAUACAUAUUACGACACUUGAUAGCAUCUGAAAGUGUUAGUUUGUGUUGGAGGGGUGGGGAUUUACUCUGCACUCCAAAGGAAGGUCAGAUUUUAAUAAAGGAAACUCUUUAACAUCCUCUUUAAGCAAUCUCCUGCUGUAUGCAGCAACCAUGUUGGGCUUUGGGCUCGCGAAAAAGCACACUGGCUCCAAAAUUUGCAUUAUGUUUAGUCCCUCAGUGCACUGCAUGUAUCCAAAAAUCCUUUUCCAGUUAAAGAGGUCAAAACAGAUGUUUUACCUUUUAAGAGUGAAUUGCACACCCACCUCAUUUACAGACUGCAGAUAGUUUGCACAUUGCUCAUUUCUAGGACUAGCAUAUUCUCCUCCACAACUUUUCUUGGUUGACUGAAAGAAAGAAAUAGUACAGAAUUAAAUAUUAUAUGAUUUCUCCCAAAACUAAGAAAUACAAAUGCAGUUCUUCAUAAUGAGAAGUCAUAGUGUAAACAACUCAACAGCAUUAGGCUUGGAUAUUAUAUCAUAUCUGCGACAAAAGUUUCCCCAAAUUACUAUUGUUGUUGUGGCGAAGCUGGGACAUGUACCCUACUUCAAAGUAGCAAUAUCUAUGAUAAAAUUCAUAUGUAAUAAUUAUGGUGCCCUUUUAGUGGUUGCUUUUUGAAUGCUACUUUGACUAUUUAAGGCAAGUAUGAUGUUUAGAAUUCUCUAGAUCAAACUUAAAAUAAUAAUAGAAUUUUACUAUAAAUUAUCAAUAAAUGCACAUUAGGUAGAAUUGAUAUAAAGGAAAGAGUUUAAUGAAAUCAGUGAUAUAAACUAACAGACACAUCCACAGACAUGGUUCAAUAGAGACCAUCAUCAGAUAUCUUGCAAAAGAGGUUUAUCUAUUUUUUUGAACAAUCUCUAUGAUGUGAUAGUUGCCUUCCAACAACUAAUUUUUAUCAUAUGGUUUCUUUUCAUCUCCCAUCUAAUGCUAAUCAUUAAAAAAAAAUCAAGGAAUGCUUUGUUUGGUGCAUCUGGCAUACCUCAGUACUGGAUUACUUAGCAUGGAUUCUGAUUGCUCAAGAUGUUGCUGAUGUUUAGUGUUCACAAGGAAAACAUAAAUAGUUUGACAUAAUCUAGGAAAAUGUUUCGAUAAAUUCUUUCACCUCAUAAAGUUCGUCAGAUAUAAGUCCCAUCCCAUGAGCAUAUGGAACAAAUGCUUCAUUAUCAAACUUCUCAUCUGUUACCGGGUUGCCAACCAGAUAACCCUGGAACCAUAUCCGGAAAAGAAGAUUACAAGAACAUAAAGAUAAGCAGUACAUAAGCAAGAUUACAGGCACAGAAAAUAGAUGCGAAUAUUGUUUUCCUUCUUAUGGUUGAGAAGAUCUCAAAAUCAGCAAGCAAAAUGGUGUGUAUGGAAGAAACAAUAUUAACAAGAACAGCCACAGCAGAAAAGAAAGGCCUGUCCCCAGAUGUUUGUUACUGAGUCGACCUUCUAAGAAAAGGGGUAUGGAUCUUUCUCCCAGCAACCAUUCAGAUUAUUUCUAAAAUAAGCUUUGCUAUUAUCUCAAUCUCAUUUUAGUCCUGAAUGACUCAAGUUCACUACAUAUGUAAAGCAAGAGAGAGCUAGAGAGUAAUUAAUAAAGUACACGCUAAUGGAUGCUAUUUUGUGAAUAAUUUGUUCAUUUAAUUUCCAGAGAACAUCCAAACAGCCACAUAUGCUGCUUGGUCCUGAACCUAUCACACCAUUCUCUUAUUGCUUUCACAGAUUGCAGUUCUUAUACUUUCUGAUAAAGGAAAAGAAAAUCUAAGUGAUGCUGCCAAUAUACCAGGAAAGAUACAGAGGAAGAAGUCAAUUAUAUUUUGUUUAUGAAUACACACACAUUUAGGUAUAUUUUUUGGUAAGGUUCACCAACCUUGAGAUUGUAAGAAAGUUCAUCUCCAUCUUGAUCACCUGCAACAUAACAAACCUUAAAGGCAUAAAGGCAGAUGAAUGUACAAAUACAUCAAAUUUAUCAGUGGAACAGUACUUCAGGAAGAACUAUGAAGACUUUAAAAAAUUAUGAUAUCCGUGAUUGAAUAUGACCUGCUUAGAUAUUCUUAAAUUGCCGACCAUAUAUCAUAACUUAUUCAGAUUAUGCGCUAAUUAGUUUCCACUAUUCAAUAUCCGGACAUUGUUCUUCAAGCCUCUUUGCAUUGAUGUUCAAAAAACCUCAAAGAAACUAUAAACAUUGACAAAUGAUUUGAUGCGAUGUUGAAUAUAUACCGCUAGUUUUUGUUUGUAAGGAAGGCUUAAAGGAGUGGAAGCUUUUUCCCCUCCCAAUAAUCAUGAUAUCUUUUGAAUACUAAUCUUAUAACAAAGACUGUUUAAUUGUUAUCAGAUCCGAUUUCACAAAAUUAUCGAUCAUACAAUAAAUGGCUAUUUUCAAGAAAUUACCUUUUGCUAUUUCUUGAGCAACAACUGGCACAACAAUACCAGAAUACGAAUCUCCACCGAUAUAGAGUGGAUUGGAGAGGAACUCUAGGUGAUCAAUAAACCACUACAACACAACUCGGGUGCUCGCAAAUCAAUCAUAUCGUUCUCCUCCUGAACAUCUUAAAUAUAUGAAUUCAAUAAAUUAAAAGAAAUAGCAAAAGCCCCC
This 10920-nucleotide long non-coding RNA is filed under the name Phoenix dactylifera (date palm). RNAcentral describes it as "long non-coding RNA (PDAC_LNC001818)". Lineage: Eukaryota; Viridiplantae; Streptophyta; Magnoliopsida; Arecales; Arecaceae. The record is from RNAcentral.